UUUAAAAGAAAACGGUCAGUAUCUGCGCUAAUCCUGAACUCUGACCGGAAAAACUGGGUUAGGCGGUCAGUGUAACGCAGAUUAGCAUAAAGCUAACAAGAGGCAAAACAACGCCAGUGAAUCUCCAUUCAACAUAAAGAUAGCGGAAUUCCACCUCAUCCUCGACGCAUCGCUCCUUCAGAGCCCGGAGGAUCUGAACUUGAGGAUACUCCUGGCUGAUGCGCCGGUCGGUUACGAACCACACCCGGGAGCACAUUUCUAAUAUGAUUGUUAAAACAGGUUACCCCAGUUACAGCAAGACCAACGGACUGGAAUUACCUAAGAAAUACAAUCUGUAAACAAACCGCUGAAAUUCUUCUGCUCCAAGGUUCGUUUUAUAGAGUCAUUAUAAAAAAA
Molecule: long non-coding RNA, 396 nt
Organism: Trichomycterus rosablanca
Lineage: Eukaryota; Metazoa; Chordata; Actinopteri; Siluriformes; Trichomycteridae
Exons: 3
Source: RefSeq, a predicted model, not a curated record